RNAcentral lists this long non-coding RNA (231 nucleotides) under Elaeis guineensis (African oil palm). RNAcentral's name for it is "long non-coding RNA (EGUI_LNC002584)". Lineage: Eukaryota; Viridiplantae; Streptophyta; Magnoliopsida; Arecales; Arecaceae. The record is from RNAcentral.
CUUCGAACCCCCUACAUGGAACUAUCCGAGUGGUAAGGUUCAAAAGUUUGAUGUCUAGACAAGGAGCCGGCCUUAGUAGCAGCCUGAGGAACAUCCUUGAACCCGGCUUGGGGAGGAGACAACCAAGAACUCUGACUACCUCGAUGAUUCUUGCCCUUGAUCUCACUACUGGAUUGGAAUGGAAAGAAUAGAAAAAGCUAUGAAAUAAGAAAGCCGAACAAGCAGAGAGCA